AAUUAUUUUGUUAUUAUAAGGGUUUUGAAAACCUUUGAGGGGAGUGUCACCUCCCAACUUU
This 61-nucleotide transfer RNA is filed under the name Berghia stephanieae. RNAcentral describes it as "tRNA-Ser". Lineage: Eukaryota; Metazoa; Mollusca; Gastropoda; Nudibranchia; Aeolidiidae. The record is from RNAcentral.